RNAcentral lists this microRNA (22 nucleotides) under Scyliorhinus torazame (cloudy catshark). RNAcentral describes it as "Sto-Mir-7-P4_3p* (star (passenger))". RNAcentral also lists the same sequence under 1 other name. Lineage: Eukaryota; Metazoa; Chordata; Chondrichthyes; Carcharhiniformes; Scyliorhinidae. The record is from RNAcentral.
CAACAAGUCACAGUCUGCCAUA